CAACGCGGCACCACCCGCACGAAAGUGAAGUGUGAAGUGAAUGCAAAGUGUUUAAAAGUGCACGCAAUGUUCCCAAAUCCGUUCGACAGAAAGCAUUCGAGAAUAAGACAAGUGUUCGACAGAUUUUUGGAAAGUAGAAAAAGUGCGCGCAAGAAUGUAUUGUCGCGGAAGGACAGUAAGUGCAGCAAUUCGUCGAGUUCGUCGUGUUCGUCGGAUUCGUCGGUUUCGUCGGGCUCGUCGUGUUCGUCGUCGGUCAGCAGGGGGUUCUUCAGAUUCGCUAUACGCUCGUGAAUGAGCUUCGUCGAAUCGUUUCGUUGUCACAAAUAGAACGGUGUCCGGUACUCGAAAAUUUGGUACAUGGAAAUCGCUGCUCGAUGGGGCCUCCAAGACAAUAGAGGGUCAACGACCUUGGUUACACGAAUUUUUCAUGUGAAUUUAUAUUGUUUUGAAUUCUAGCAUGAACCAGUCUAUAGUUUAUUAUGUUAAUACACGUUAAACGUCCUUGGUUACGCGUUAAUUUUUCACGAAAAUAAGUAUUAUAAUUAUAGACUAAACCAGUGUAUUCUCGUAGUUUAGACAUGCCUAUUACCUACGCUUUAAACUAUUGUAAAACAUCCUGUAGAUUGUAUUGUAUUAAUAAGCAUACCUUACCUUAAUAAGCAUACAUGAGACGUGAUAGCCCAGUGGAUAUGACCUCUGCUUCCGAUUCCGGAGGGUGUGGGUUCGAAUCCGGUCCUGGGCAUGCACCUCCAACUUUUCAGUUGUGUGCAUUUUAAGAAAUUAAAUAUCACGUGUCUCAAACGGUGAAGGAAAACAUCGUGAGGAAACCUGCACAUCAGAUAAUUUUCUUAAUUCUCUGCGUGUGUGAAGUCUGCCAAUCCGCAUUAGGCCAGCGUGGUGGACUAUUGGCCUAACCCCUUAUUCUUAGAGGAGACUGGAGUUCAGCAGUGAGUCGAAUAUGGGUUGAUAAUGAUGAAUAAGCAUACUACAGUCCACACAACUAAUGGUUGACUUUAAAUUGUAAUCCUUGCUAGAAAAUAUAAAUAUUUGUAAAGAUACACCUAGGCAUUAAAAUUCAAAGGUUGUUGAGAGACAGGAUGUUUUUUUU
This is a long non-coding RNA of Bicyclus anynana (squinting bush brown), 1108 nucleotides long. RefSeq lists it as uncharacterized. The record is from RefSeq and is a predicted model, not a curated record. NCBI's taxonomy places the organism in Eukaryota, Metazoa, Arthropoda, Insecta, Lepidoptera, Nymphalidae. The transcript has 2 exons.